ACAUUGGUGGUUCAGUGGUAGAAUUCUUGCCUGCCAUGCAGGAGGCCCAGGUUCAAUUCCUGGCCAAUGCA
RNAcentral lists this transfer RNA (71 nucleotides) under Podarcis lilfordi (Lilford's wall lizard). It matches the Rfam family "tRNA". Rfam says of the family: Transfer RNA (tRNA) molecules are approximately 80 nucleotides in length. Their secondary structure includes four short double-helical elements and three loops (D, anti-codon, and T loops). The record is from Rfam by way of RNAcentral. Lineage: Eukaryota; Metazoa; Chordata; Lepidosauria; Squamata; Lacertidae.